GAUGAACGCUGGCGGCGUGCCUAAUACAUGCAAGUCGAGCGAACAGACGAGGAGCUUGUUCCUCUGACGUUAGCGGCGGACGGGUGAGUAACACGUGGAUAACCUACCUAUAAGACUGGGAUAACUUCGGGAAACCGGAGCUAAUACCGGAUAAUAUAUUGAACCGCAUGGUUCAAUAGUGAAAGACGGUUUUGCUGUCACUUAUAGAUGGAUCCGCGCCGCAUUAGCUAGUUGGUAAGGUAACGGCUUACCAAGGCAACGAUGCGUAGCCGACCUGAGAGGGUGAUAGGCCACACUGGAACUGAGACACGGUCCAGACUCCUACGGGAGGCAGCAGUAGGGAAUCUUCCGCAAUGGGCGAAAGCCUGACGGAGCAACGCCGAGUGAGUGAUGAAGGUCUUCGGAUCGUAAAACUCUGUUAUUAGGGAAGAACCAAUGUGUAAGUAAAUAUGCACGUCUUGACGGUACCUAAUCAGAAAGCCACGGCUAACUACGUG
This 497-nucleotide ribosomal RNA is filed under the name uncultured bacterium. Its description in RNAcentral is "partial 16S ribosomal RNA". It matches the Rfam family "Bacterial small subunit ribosomal RNA", at positions 28 to 507 of the family's 1533-position model. The record is from RNAcentral.